RNAcentral lists this ribosomal RNA (507 nucleotides) under uncultured Pseudomonadota bacterium. Its description in RNAcentral is "bacterial SSU rRNA". It matches the Rfam family "Bacterial small subunit ribosomal RNA", at positions 355 to 851 of the family's 1533-position model. Lineage: Bacteria; Pseudomonadati; Pseudomonadota. The record is from RNAcentral.
UGGGGAAUAUUGGACAAUGGGCGAAAGCCUGACGCAGCAACGCCGCGUGAGUGAUGAAGGCCUUCGGGUCGUAAAGCUCUGUCAGAGGGGAAGAACCACCUGAAGGUUAAUAUCCUUCAGGCCUGACGGUACCCUCAAAGGAAGCACCGGCUAACUCCGUGCCAGCAGCCGCGGUAAUACGGAGGGUGCGAGCGUUGUUCGGAAUUAUUGGGCGUAAAGGGCGCGCAGGCGGUCUGUUAAGUCUGAUGUGAAAGCCCCGGGCUCAACCCGGGAAGUGCAUUGGAAACUGGCAGACUUGAGUACGGGAGAGGGUAGUGGAAUUCCGCAUGUAGGGGUGAAAUCCGUAGAUAUGCGGAGGAACACCGGUGGCGAAGGCGGCUACCUGGACCGAUACUGACGCUGAGGCGCGAAAGCGUGGGGAGCGAAACAGGAUUAGAUACCCUGGUAGUCCACGCCGUAAACGAUGGACACUAGGCGUUGCAGGUAUCCAUUCCCGCAGUGCCGAAG